GAGUUUGAUUAUGGCUCAGGAUGAACGCUGGCGGCGUGCUUAACACAUGCAAGUCGAACGGGCGAAUUAUAUCGGAGGUCUUCGGGCCGAAGAGAUAAUAAGCUAGUGGCGGACGGGUGCGUAACGUGUGGGUAAUCUGCCUUUGUCAUAGGAAUAACUGCUUGAAAAAGUAGCUAAUACCAAAUAACAUAUCGUAUAGGCAUCUAUAAGAUAUCAAAGAGAAAUCGGACAAAGAUGAGCCCGCAUCUGAUUAGCUGGUUGGUAGGGUAAAAGCCUACCAAGGCGACGAUCAGUAGCCGGCCUGAGAGGGUGAACGGCCACAUUGGAACUGAGACACGGUCCAAACUCCUACGGGAGGCAGCAGUGGGGAAUAUUGCACAAUGGGGGGAACCCUGAUGCAGCAACGCCGCGUGUGUGAAGAAGGCUUUCGAGUCGUAAAACUCUGUUGUAAGGGAAGAUAAUGACG
Molecule: ribosomal RNA, 466 nt
Filed under: Filifactor villosus
Lineage: Bacteria; Bacillati; Bacillota; Clostridia; Peptostreptococcales; Filifactoraceae
Description: bacterial SSU rRNA
Rfam family: Bacterial small subunit ribosomal RNA
Source: RNAcentral